Molecule: long non-coding RNA, 451 nt
Organism: Mesocricetus auratus (golden hamster)
Lineage: Eukaryota; Metazoa; Chordata; Mammalia; Rodentia; Cricetidae
Exons: 2
Source: RefSeq, a predicted model, not a curated record
GCCGGGUGACGCGCGCCUUUUUGGUUAAGCUUGGAAAGGUGCAGCUACAGGCUCCUCGCAGCGGGGCUCCCCUGAGGUUAUCCUGUGAGGACCCUUCGGCCAGACUCCGGCGCGCUCCGGUCACUGCGGAGUGCGGCGUGGGGGGACGCGACCUGGGACGCGGCAUGACCCGCGGGGAAGGGCUCGAAGGACCCGGCAAGCAGCGGGGGGUUUGCUGCCAUCGUCACCCCAAAGGUACUACAUGUAUGUGGUGCACAUGCAUGCACUCUGGCAAAAUACACACACAGCAAAACCACCUGAAAAACUUCCCCUUCGGUACUGGAGUGAUGGCUCAGCGGUUAAGAGCACCGGCAGCUCACAACUGUUGUGAUUCCAAAUCCAGCGGAUCUGACACCCUCGCAGAGUGCAUGUAGGCAAAACACUAGUACACGUUAAAUAAAUACAUCUUUUU